Macrobrachium nipponense is the source of this 220-nucleotide long non-coding RNA. RefSeq lists it as uncharacterized. The transcript has 2 exons. The record is from RefSeq and is a predicted model, not a curated record. NCBI's taxonomy places the organism in Eukaryota, Metazoa, Arthropoda, Malacostraca, Decapoda, Palaemonidae.
GGAAAAAGUGCAAGUAGCUUCUCUCUUACAUGAAGCAGGUGCCAUGACUCCUCUGGGCAUUCUUCCACAUCAGAUUGAUAAUAAGCUGUUCUACAAAGAUUUACUCCUUCACUACCCAGAUGAACAAGAUUUUGAGCCUCCUCCAAAACGGUUAAAAACUUAAUGAUCAUUUUUUAAUAGUGUCUUCUUUAUCAAAGCAAUAUAAGCAAUAGAACCUCCA